GCCCAGACUCCUACGGGAGGCAGCAGUGGGGAAUAUUGCACAAUGGGGGAAACCCUGAUGCAGCGACGCCGCGUGAGUGAGGAAGUAUUUCGGUAUGUAAAGCUCUCUCAGCAGGGAAGAAAAUGACGGUACCUGAAGAAGAAGCCCCGGCUAACUCCGUGCCAGCAGCCGCGGUAAUACGGAGGAUGCGAGCGUUAUCCGGAUUUAUUGGGUUUAAAGGGUGCGUAGGCGGACUGGAAAGUCAGCGGUAAAAUCGAGAGGCUCAACCUCUUUCCGCCGUUGAAACUGUCGGUCUUGAGUGGGCGAGAAGUAUGCGGAAUGCGUGGUGUAGCGGUGAAAUGCAUAGAUAUCACGCAGAACUCCGAUUGCGAAGGCAGCAUACCGGCGCUCAACUGACGCUCAUGCACGAAAGCGUGGGUAUCGAACAGGAUUAGAUACCCCAGUA
This 445-nucleotide ribosomal RNA is filed under the name uncultured bacterium. Its description in RNAcentral is "bacterial SSU rRNA". It matches the Rfam family "Bacterial small subunit ribosomal RNA", at positions 329 to 792 of the family's 1533-position model. The record is from RNAcentral.